CCUACGGGGGGCAGCAGUGAGGAAUAUUGGUCAAUGGGCGCGAGCCUGAACCAGCCAAGUCGCGUGAGGGAAGACGGUCCUAUGGAUUGUAAACCUCUUUUGUCGGGGAGCAAAAGACGCCACGCGUGGCGUUCCGAGAGUACCCGAAGAAAAAGCAUCGGAUAACUCCGUGCCAGCAGCCGCGGUAAUACGGAGGAUGCGAGCGUUAUCCGGAUUUAUGGGGUUUAAAGGGGGCGCAGGCGGAAGAUCAAGUCAGCGGUAAAAUUGAGAGGCUCAACCUCUUCGAGCCGUUGAAACUGGUUUUCUUGAGUGAGUGAGAAGUAUGCGGAAUGCGUGGUGUAGCGGUGAAAUGCAUAGAUAUCACGCAGAACUCUGAUUGCGAAGGCAGCAUACCGGCGCUCAACUGACGCUCAUGCACGAAAGUGUGGGUAUCGAACAGGAUUAGAUACCCUAGUAGUC
This 459-nucleotide ribosomal RNA is filed under the name uncultured bacterium. Its description in RNAcentral is "partial 16S ribosomal RNA". It matches the Rfam family "Bacterial small subunit ribosomal RNA", at positions 338 to 795 of the family's 1533-position model. The record is from RNAcentral.